Long non-coding RNA from Gallus gallus (chicken), 5862 nucleotides. RefSeq lists it as uncharacterized. The transcript has 2 exons. NCBI's taxonomy places the organism in Eukaryota, Metazoa, Chordata, Aves, Galliformes, Phasianidae. The record is from RefSeq and is a predicted model, not a curated record.
GGGGCUAUGUAGGGCUGCAGCUCGGAGGCGGGGCUGUCUCUUCGCCGGCUUUUGGCGCUGGCCUGAGGGCUACCGCACAGGGCCGUGAAGAAGGGAAUGGCUCUGCGCGACCUUUCGCCGCGAGAGGUUACAGGCCCUUCUGCUAUAGACUUCAGGACUCCUUCCCCUAAGAGCCAUUUGCCAGUGGCUGCACGUGCAGCCUGCAAGGGUGAGAAGGUGAGGACACAAGUCUGAUUAUGAAGGAACUGAGACAAAAUUAUCUUAUUUCUGUUAGUCUUUAGGAUUUAUAACAUCCAGGAUUGCUGUAUCAGGAGACUGAGGUUAAUUUUCUACGAUGCAGUUCUGAAGAAACAAUGAAUUUCUUUGGCAAAUGUUAAAAUUCAUUUGCAUUUUUGCUGCCUGCUUUUUUUCCCCCCUCCUUAUUCUCCUGAUAGACUAUAAAACAAGAGCCAUUGUUCAGGGUACCUUGUUGCUAGAUGCCAUCCAUGAGGAGAACUGAUCAGACUUGUUUUUUCUCAUUCCUCCUAAAAAUCUUCCAAGGCACCAUACCUUUAUUUAUAUGGACCUGCAGCGAUUAAGUAUUUUAGCAGUCUGCAAAUCUGAGAUGCUGGGACAAGAAUGAAUUGCAGCUGUUCAAAUUAUUGACCGCUUUGCUGAUACACUAUUUGGUUAAUACAGAGAUCCAUAAUGUUCUGAAGAUACAAAUAGUCCUGUUCCUGUAGUCACUAAAGUUACUCAAUAUUUUUAAUCAAAACCUUUUUUUUACUCUUUGGUUCUUUCAUGAAGCAACUGGUUUCAGUUGAGCUGAGCAUUAUUAAGCCUCACUUUGUUUUAAGGUACUUCAAAAUUGUUAUAUAAAUUGCCUUACACUCUUUUAUUAAAGAGAAGGAUGUGGCUGUUAUAUAUAAAUUGUACUUCCUAUAUCCUGUCACAAGCCUAAACCAGAAACCCCUAAAAGCAUUAGGUUUGCAGUUACCAUGCUGGAUGGAACUGAUUUUAAGAAACAGGCGUUCUUCAGUAUUACCAUUAUUUGCUUAAGAGACGACCUGGGAAUCCCAGUUUACCCUCCAAGCCAAGGCUAGGGAUGUGUCAAAACAGUAGUCCACUAAGAUAGAAAGAAAAAUACCCUCUGGCUUUGCUGUCACUGCUGAUAUGAAAGACAGAACAGUACACCUUUUCCUAAAAUAUAAAUGGUAAACCUUAGCAAAGUGUACAAAUGAAUCUUUAACCUCAUUAACUACUGCUGUAAAAUUGAAAAACAGAAAGGAGAGGGAAUUUUGUAUACCCAUGUGCCAUUGUGGCCAGUAGAAGUAAAAACUCUUUCAAUUCAGCAAAAAAACUAGUUCCUGAAUUGAGAAGUUUGCUUUCUUCCUGUUUAUGCUUUCCUUAAAAAGUCAAGGUACUGAUGUUAAUGUACAUCUCUCAGGUUUCCAGAAGAAUCCUGAUCAGCAGUGAGGUUACUGCUGUUGAUACUGCUGAGAGGUGUGAUAUGUUUUAGUGUAAACACUUCUAUGGGUUAAAAUACCAGUGUAGCAGUGUUGGAUGAGGUGUGAGCUAAUAAACCUCACAGUAAGGCUUCCUUGAGAUUCUGACACCCUGAAAUGUGCCAGGACAGGUGUCCAGUAACUGCCCUGGAGCUGGUCCUCUGGCCACGUAGGAACAGGGGCAGAGAAUUACCUUGAAUCUCUUUCUGCUUUUCUGUUACAUUUUUUUUUUUGUACGUUGUUUCAAGCAUCCAUCACGUAUAUCCUGGCUGAUCCUCACAAGGAAGGUGUCUGCUCUGUCUUACAAGACUCCGUAUGGAGUACUGCAUCCAUCAGGCCCUCAGCACAAGAAAGAUGGAGCUGUUGGAGCAGGUCCUGAGGAGGCCACGAAGAUGCUCAGACCUCUCCCUCCUAUGAAGAAAGGUUGAAGGAAUUGGACUUGUCUGGAGAUGAGAAUGCUCCAGGGACACCUCAUUGCAGCCUUCCAGUACUCAGAGGGAGCUUAUAAACAGGAGGGAGAGCAACUUCUUAGAUGAUCUAAUAGUGAUAGGUCAAGGGGGAAUGGCUUUAAAGUAAAAUAGGAGAAAAUUAGAUGAUAGGAAGAAAUUCUUUACUCAGAGGGUGGUGAGGCAUUGGCACAGGCUGCCCAGAGAAGCUGUGGAUGCCUCAUCCCUGGAGAUGUUCAAGGCCAGGUUGGAUGGGACCCUGGGUAGCCUGAGCUGGUGGGUGGCAACCUUGCCUGUAGCAGGUGGGUUGGAGUUCAGUGAUCUUUAAGAUCCCUUCCAACCUAAGCCAUUCUAUGUCUCACACAGGUAAUUUUACUGGAAGAUGCUUCCCUGGCUGGAAUAGGUUCAAGGCACAAGAUCAUUCACUGCUAUCCCCCACCCAGCCUCACAUGUUGAUAGUUGAGUAACUGUAACACAUGCUUAGCCUCAAGGGUUAUUACCAUCCUCCUCCCAGGAGUUUACCAUUCCAAUUACAUCCUAUUGCUAAUGUGGUAACCCAAUUUGAUGCAGGAACUGACUAUACUCCACAGAAGGCCUGCACAGCUCACAGAGGGAAGCUACAGCCUACUGAAGACUAGUGGUUCUCAGCCUUUAUUGAUCCACAGAUGCCUGCAUAUUUUCCCUUGGAAAUGUAAACACCUGCCUAAAAUGUAAGCCUCCAGUUUUUCAGUUACCUUACAGACCUCUUAAAUGUUGUCCAGGGACCACAAGGCGAAGGUCAGUACUUGAGAGUGAUCAUUAUGCAUACCCAGCAGGUAGCCUACAAUUUCAAAGUCUCUCACUUAGUCCCCCCCCCCCCUUUUUUUUUUUUUUUUUUUUUUUGCAGUAAAGGUACACAUUCAACUCUUCUUGGAAAGACUAGUUUCCACACCUCCCUCACCCCCCAGCUUCAUUCUCACAAACAUCAGGAGAUCUGGAGCACUUUCCCCACGCAUGGUUAAUCAGCUUUGCAUAUGAAAGAGGAUGCCAAAUGCCCCCAACUAUAGCUGUGUCCACAACCCAAAAACAUAUCCUAAUUCAGCAGCAAAACUAGGCAUAGACUCUAGUUCUUUGGUGUCAUGAUUUCUUGCAGUUUUUUUUUUUUCCAUUCAUUACAUAGACACUACAUGAAAUCGAAAUGUUUGUUGGACCAAGUCACUACAUCUCUUGAGUACUUUGGUGUUCUACUAUACAGAAACAAGAAACCAUGCACACAAAUUUAAUCUGUUGUACCUGAAAUGACGAUUGGACAGGUACCUAUCAUGUAGUUAGCGAAAUGUACAAAAAAUUUCAUUCUAUGUUCAGAACUGUACUAGUAAACUUGGGCAGCUUUCGGGUACAUUACCUGCAAAAUCCUAGACAAGAUAUAUAUCCUUUUGUUGAUAUAAAGAUGAUAAAAUAAUUGAUAAAAAUAUAGAAGACAAGCAGAAUCUCCUAGUUAUAUUCUAUAUUAUGAAGAAAAUUGGAUGAUGUAGACAAAUCUAUGAAGUAAUGAAUUAUUACCUAUUGCCAAUGAUAUUUAUGGAGAUGUUUAGUUCUACCCAUAAAACAUCCUGGAAUUUGCAUAGCUAGAAACUCACAAUCAAGAAUUUUGAAAGAAUUAUCUGGCAAGCAAAUGGAAACAAUGGGCUUUCCUUUCAAAACAACUUUGGAGUUUGAAUGUGUUCCAGAAGACCAGUAAAUACUUUCAUUUUAAAAGUAUUUGAAAAAUAAGAGGGAUCAUCUAGGUUGCUUAGAAGCCAGUUGACCUAAUGCUGACUUGGCAAAAUCAAAGUGUAAUCUAUUUGGGUUACAUUCAGCUAAGAAAGGAAACAUUACAGAAUUUGAUUUAAUUGAAUGAAAAAGAUCUCAUUAAAAGAAUUACAUAUCCUUCUGUGGCAAUGUAAAUUUGGUACUUCAAGAUCAAGGUCCAAGACUAAUAUAGCAAGACUUAGCAUCUAAGUACCAGACACCCUGGUCCUUUUGUAAAGGAAGAGAAAGGCAAUAGGUAAGUGCUACAUGAGGGAGCCAAGCCUUACUGGGAGACACCUAAACCUGCUCAAUUAAAUUUAGUUGUUUGGAAAGAUGAUUGAAGCUUGAUCACGGGCCUGUAACUCGUUAGAAAAAGAUUUUUGAUAGCAGAAGACUUUAAUGUACUGAACAGAGGCAUAAGACGACCUUAUGAGAAGAAAAAAAAGUAGAAGAGAUGGCAGUUUCAAUGGCAGUCAAAACCAGCAAAAUAAGGGACGUGGUUGAUCAACCAUAGGGCUUUAAAUUGUGCAAGUCUUAAAUUUUUCUUGAAGAUUUAUCUGAAUUGUAGACCAGCAAUACUAUCAUUAGUCAUGGCUGAGAUUCCAUUACCAUGUUGUGGGUGACUUUUCCAAAUGAUUUCCAGCCUACAUGAUGUUUCCUUUUAAAGCAAGGAAGAAUUUGCAGAAUCUAGCUAAGAAAUGACAACUGAUUCAGUAGAGGACAAGGAGUGCUGCCACAUUCCAGCAAAGGCUCAAGAUGCAAACUAACACAGAACUUCAGAAUCAAUACAAAGUCUUCUUGGGUACAGACAUACAGGAACAAAUGGAUUGGCAUUAUGAAGAAAAUAAAAAGUUAAAGAUUUCAGGAAGCUGAAGAGAAAGGACCACAGGAUCUUGUUAGAGAAUAUAACUCCUGAAAGCAGAAGUUAAAUAAUUGAACUGCUGGCAGCUUGAGAAUACAGCGCUAACAGAGCUGCACUAUGAAACUUGAGGCUUCUUCUCUAUAGUGGAUAAGUAUGUACAGAUGUUAUGUUUUGCAUCCUGCAUGUAGCUACUAUACUUUUUCAGUAACCCAUAGGCACUCCGAAUACGUUAAACAGCCUCAGAAAUUCGAAGAGGAAGACCUGAUAAAAACUCAACGAGUCAACAAUGAGAGUAAAGUAUUUUCCAUUAUUUCUACCCAGACUUCCGUUGCUGGUGUAAACAGAAACAAGAAAUUCAACUGACUGGGGAAAAAAAAAUAAUAAUAAAAGUCCAGGAAUAAAGUGGCACUUCUGAAACUCGGUGGGAAAGCACCUUAAUAAAAGGCAGUUUCUUCCUGUGUGAAAGUAAGUUACAGAAACAGCAGCAAACUGCACAAACACAAGCAGUACCUUUGAAAUAAUUGAUAACAAAAUAACUGUACAGCCUUAAAUACACAGACAUCCCUGUGCUUGGUAAUAGAUACCAAGAAGAGGAAGGAUUGAAGACAUAAGAAAACAACGCAUCGAACAAGGAAAGGUGAUCUCAAGCACCUUUAACACAAAACAAACAAAAACAACAACAAAAGACCUCACAACACUGCAAGAAAUUUUAACUUGCGAGACAUUCCCCGAGGAAUUCAAGCAGUCAGCCAAAUAUCCUUCCCAUUUUCAAAAUUAAUUUUCUUAAAACCAGACACUGCACCCAAAACAAGUCGAUUUCUCAGACUUCAACAUGAUCCAUACAAGACAUAAUAAUGUGAGUGCAAACUGGCAAUUCUGUCAUGUUCAUAUUGACUAUGGGCACGUGGAGGAGAGCUACAAGCAGUAAUAAACCUAUGCAGAGUCUGUGCUUCACAGAGCAAAUUUCCAAGGUGAGCAAACUCAGGAACUGAGUUGUCUGUAAUAAAAAAAAAAAAAUGUAAGGCAGGAAAAUGUGGAUGAAAACUAUUCUUUAAUUUAAAAAUUAUGAUAUGGCCAAAAACGUCCCAGUUCCACAAAGCUUUGGGUAAAAGCUUGUUCUGGGUUCACUGAGAAAGUCUGCGAGUGAGAAAAAACAACUGAAACAAGGGGGAAAAAAAAAAAAGAUAAAAGGCCAAAAUACAACACAUGGAAAAGAGGAAGCUCAGACAACAAACGAGAUAAAAAUAGAUAUUAUUAGAUAGAAAAAAAAAAAAACCUAGUAAGGAAAGAUUUGUGGCAA